GUGGGGAAUAUUCCGCAAUGGACGAAAGUCUGACGGAGCAACGCCGCGUGAGUGAUGAAGGUUUUCGGACUGUAAAGCUCUGUUGUUUGGGACGAAAGUGCCUGUUGCGAACAGUUACGGGUAUUGACGGUACUAAACGAGGAAGCCACGGCUAACUACGUGCCAGCAGCCGCGGUAAUACGUAGGUGGCAAGCGUUGUCCGGAAUUAUUGGGCGUAAAGAGCAUGUAGGCGGGAAUCUAAGUCUGUUGUUAAAAUGCGGGGCUCAACCCCGUAUGGCGAUGGAAACUGGGUUUCUUGAGUGCAGGGGAGGAAAGGGGAAUUCCCAGUGUAGCGGUGAAAUGCGUAGAUAUUGGGAGGAACACCAGUGGCGAAGGCGCCUUUCUGGACUGUGUCUGACGCUGAGAUGCGAAAGCCAGGGUAGCGAACGGGAUUAGAUACCCUGGUAGUCC
Molecule: ribosomal RNA, 450 nt
Filed under: uncultured bacterium
Lineage: Bacteria
Description: partial 16S ribosomal RNA
Rfam family: Bacterial small subunit ribosomal RNA
Source: RNAcentral